CCUACGGGUGGCAGCAGUGAGGAAUAUUGGUCAAUGGACGCAAGUCUGAACCAGCCAUGCCGCGUGCAGGAAGACGGCUCUAUGAGUUGUAAACUGCUUUUGUACGAGGGUAAACUCUGAUACGCGUACCUUUCUGAAUGUAUCUUACGAAUAAGGAUCGGCUAACUCCGUGCCAGCAGCCGCGGUAAUACGGAGGAUUCAAGCGUUAUCCGGAUUUAUUGGGUUUAAAGGGUGCGUAGGCGGUCGGUUAAGUUAGCGGUGAAAUCCCGAGGCUCAACUUCGGAAUUGCCUCUGAUACUGUUAGGCUAGAGGGUAGUAGCGGUAGGCGGAAUGUGUGGUGUAGCGGUGAAAUGCUUAGAGAUCAUGCAGAACACCGAUUGCGAAGGCAGCUUACCAAGCUACAUCUGACGUUGAGGCACGAAAGCGUGGGGAGCAAACAGGAUUAGAUACCCGUGUAGUC
Molecule: ribosomal RNA, 460 nt
Filed under: uncultured bacterium
Lineage: Bacteria
Description: partial 16S ribosomal RNA
Rfam family: Bacterial small subunit ribosomal RNA
Source: RNAcentral